UUGGGCGUAGAGCUCGUAGGCGGUUUGUCGCGUCUGCCGUGAAAGUCCGGGGCUCAACUCCGGAUCUGCGGUGGGUACGGGCAGACUAGAGUGAUGUAGGGGAGACUGGAAUUCCUGGUGUAGCGGUGAAAUGCGCAGAUAUCAGGAGGAACACCGAUGGCGAAGGCAGGUCUCUGGGCAUUAACUGACGCUGAGGAGCGAAAGCAUGGGGAGCGAACAGGAUUAGAUACCCUGGUAGUCCAUGCCGUAAACGUUGGGCACUAGGUGUGGGGGACAUUCCACGUUUUCCGCGCCGUAGCUAACGCAUUAAGUGCCCCGCCUGGGGAGUACGGCCGCAAGGCUAAAACUCAAAGGAAUUGACGGGGGCCCGCACAAGCGGCGGAGCAUGCGGAUUAAUUCGAUGCAACGCGAAGAACCUUACCAAGGCUUGACAUGAACCGGUAAUACCUGGAGACAGGUGCCCCGCUUGCGGUCGGUUUACAGGUGGUGCAUGGUUGUCGUCAGCUCGUGUCGUGAGAUGUUGGGUUAAGUCCCGCAACGAGCGCAACCCUCGUUCUAUGUUGCCAGCACGUGAUGGUGGGGACUCAUAGGAGACUGCCGGGGUCAACUCGGAGGAAGGUGGGGACGACGUCAAAUCAUCAUGCCCCUUAUGUCUUGGGCUUCACGCAUGCUACAAUGGCCGGUACAAAGGGUUGCGAUACUGUGAGGUGGAGCUAAUCCCAAAAAGCCGGUCUCAGUUCGGAUUGGGGUCUGCAACUCGACCCCAUGAAGUCGGAGUCGCUAGUAAUCGCAGAUCAGCAACGCUGCGGUGAAUACGUUCCCGGGCCUUGUACACACCGCCCGUCAAGUCACGAAAGUUGGUAACACCCGAAGCCGGUGGCUAACCCCUUGUGGGAGGGAGCUGUCGAAGUGGGACUGGCGAUUGGGACGAA
Molecule: ribosomal RNA, 932 nt
Filed under: Arthrobacter sp.
Lineage: Bacteria; Bacillati; Actinomycetota; Actinomycetes; Micrococcales; Micrococcaceae
Description: bacterial SSU rRNA
Rfam family: Bacterial small subunit ribosomal RNA
Source: RNAcentral